UUAAGCAUAUCAAAAUGGCGGAGGAA
Molecule: ribosomal RNA, 26 nt
Filed under: Botryosphaeria dothidea
Lineage: Eukaryota; Fungi; Ascomycota; Dothideomycetes; Botryosphaeriales; Botryosphaeriaceae
Description: partial 28S ribosomal RNA
Source: RNAcentral